RNAcentral lists this ribosomal RNA (508 nucleotides) under uncultured glomeraceous AM fungus. Its description in RNAcentral is "SSU rRNA". It matches the Rfam family "Eukaryotic small subunit ribosomal RNA", at positions 569 to 1078 of the family's 1831-position model. The record is from RNAcentral. Lineage: Eukaryota; Fungi; Glomeromycota; Glomeromycetes; Glomerales; Glomeraceae.
AGCAGCCGCGGUAAUUCCAGCUCCAAUAGCGUAUAUUAAAGUUGUUGCAGUUAAAAAGCUCGUAGUUGAAUUUCGGGGUUAGUAGGUUGGUCAUGCCUCUGGUAUGUACUGGUCUCACUGAUUCCUCCUUCCUGAUGAUCCGUAAUGCCGUUAAUUUGGUGUUGCGGGGAAUUUGGACUGUUACUUUGAAAAAAUUAGAGUGUUUAAAGCAAGCUAACGCUUGAAUACAUUAGCAUGGAAUAAUGAAAUAGGACGUUCGAUCCUAUUUUGUUGGUUUCUAGGAUUGACGUAAUGAUUAAUAGGGAUAGUUGGGGGCAUUAGUAUUCAAUUGUCAGAGGUGAAAUUCUUGGAUUUAUUGAAGACUAACUACUGCGAAAGCAUUUGCCAAGGAUGUUUUCAUUAAUCAAGAACGAAAGUUAGGGGAUCGAAGACGAUCAGAUACCGUCGUAGUCUUAACCAUAAACUAUGCCGACUAGGGAUCGGAUGAUGUUAAUUUUUUAAUGACUCA